AUGAGGGCAGGCCGUCGCUACUGAGCCGUGAUGUCAACCGCCCUGCCGA
Molecule: small nucleolar RNA, 49 nt
Filed under: Pyrobaculum arsenaticum DSM 13514
Lineage: Archaea; Thermoproteati; Thermoproteota; Thermoprotei; Thermoproteales; Thermoproteaceae
Also listed under: 1 other name
Description: PARsR127
Source: RNAcentral